CAAAUCCAGACAAAAACAAACAAAAACCACGAAAAGCUACUGGUCUGACAAGUGUUUCAAACUGGUCAGAGUUGUCUUUUCACCACUAGAUUCCACCUCAAGCUGCCAAGAAGCCAUUUUUACAGAUAUUUCGUAGAAAUCCCGUUGUUCAACUAUAGAAAACAUCACAGGAGUUAGUCUUGUUUUUGAACCGACGGUUUAUAUUUACACUUUGAAACGACCCA
This 224-nucleotide long non-coding RNA is filed under the name Mytilus galloprovincialis (Mediterranean mussel). The record is from RNAcentral. Lineage: Eukaryota; Metazoa; Mollusca; Bivalvia; Mytilida; Mytilidae.